This 301-nucleotide ribosomal RNA is filed under the name uncultured bacterium. RNAcentral's name for it is "partial 16S ribosomal RNA". It matches the Rfam family "Bacterial small subunit ribosomal RNA", at positions 509 to 807 of the family's 1533-position model. The record is from RNAcentral.
CAGUCGCCGCGGUAAUACGUAGGGUGCAAGCGUUAAUCGGAAUUACUGGGCGUAAAGCGUGCGCAGGCGGUCCGCUGAGACAGAUGUGAAAUCCCCGGGCUUAACCUGGGAACUGCAUUUGUGACUGGCGGGCUAGAGUAUGGCAGAGGGGGGUAGAAUUCCACGUGUAGCAGUGAAAUGCGUAGAGAUGUGGAGGAAUACCGAUGGCGAAGGCAGCCCCCUGGGCCAAUACUGACGCUCAUGCACGAAAGCGUGGGGAGCAAACAGGAUUAGAGACCCCUGUAGUCCCUGUCUCUUAUAC